This 3014-nucleotide long non-coding RNA is filed under the name Capsella rubella. RNAcentral's name for it is "long non-coding RNA (CRUB_LNC000948)". The record is from RNAcentral. Lineage: Eukaryota; Viridiplantae; Streptophyta; Magnoliopsida; Brassicales; Brassicaceae.
GCUAAACCAGCCCUACAUUACUUCAAAUUAAUUAAACCACACAUAACAUAACCAACAUAAGACUUAAGCAUAAAUCCAUGAAAAUAAUUUCACUAAACCAACCAGUUCAACAAAACAUUAUUCCAGAACAUAAGCACCCUAACAUGCUUCUAAAUUCCGUUCUAACAUCCUAACAAAUCCAACAAUAAUCUAAAACAUCAAUGAGCGCCUAGAUCAUCCUCUUCUCCUCGCCAUGAUUCCACGGAUCACACUUUACCUUUACCUGCAUCAUAGAAAGAGAUGCAUAAGUAUUUCAUAAAUACUUAGUGAGACAAUCAUCCCACCACUGGCUAUACACAAACAGAAAUCAAUACAUUCAAGUAUUAACUCAAACCACCAUCAAUAUAACACGAAAGAACACAAAAAUGACCCGUCAGACAAGUAGUGUCGAUCGACACCAUCGAUGGUGUCGCUUGACACUCGCGACCAUCCUCGCGAGAAAGUAAGUUGGUGUCGUUCGAUACCCACCAUUGGUGUCGAGCGCCACCGAAACCUAACAUCGUUCCAUCCGCUUCUCAUCAACGGAUCCAAUGCCUCUAGCACACCAUGACCGGUUAGUCACCUCCUCAGGCUCGUACCAAGACACCAAACACAUAAAACAAGCAUACAAACAAUGAAUCAAUCAUCAAUCAGAGAAAAACACCCAAAUAUGCAUCAAAACUGCUUAUAUCAGCCUAGUCAUGCACUCACCUUUCAAAAUGAUUGAAACAAGAACGCCAAACACUCAACUACAACAACCAAGGACUCUCCUAACACCACAGCAACGAGAUCUCUCUUCCCAAGGAUGGAAUCACCAAGAACAGGUCUCAAAUCACUCUCAAACCUCACAAAACCUCUCUUGAGAAAUUUGAACUUUUUAGAGAAGAAAAAAAAACGGCUGUUCUAACCCUAGGUCGACCUUUCCUCUUUUAAAUGCGACUUAGGUUAAACCAAACAAUAACCCGCUCUGAGGUGGCAACUUUCAAGUCAUACCGGCUCACUAUUAGGCCACCAGCCUUCCAGCUACGGUAUCCGGGAAGUCUCAUCCUCGCUCUUGGGUCGUCACCCUCAAGCGUGCACUCGAAUCGUCAUCCGAGGCCAUCACAUCAUAUUCGAGCAAAUAAUUCUAAACGCCCUCGAGCAUAUCUCUCGAUCAGAUAUACCUCUCGUGGUCCACUUAUAGCAUCGCAAUGCUAUACUAACCACCACCCCGAGACUUUCCAAAAAUAGAACCGUCAAACCCGACACUUUCUAUUUUUAGAAACUCGCACAUAUCUCUUUUACACAUGACACAACAAGUCAACUUCCAGAAAUACUCAUCUUAUUAAUCUCAAAUGUCAUAAUCAUUACACCAAAAAUGAAAAUACAAAAGAGAUACAACCAACAAAUCCAACAAUGUAAUCAAACUCCAGAAAAUCCUAACAUACUUUUAAUUUCGAGGUUAACAAUAAUAAAAUAAAGCAUAAACUCAUUCAAUGACACUAUAUCAUCCGUCUCUUUGUCGACACGGUCCCACAGUCACAUUUCUCUUUACCUUUAUCACAAGAAAAGAGAUGCGAGAAUAUUAUCAUAAAUACUUAGUGAGGCGGUCCUCCCAUCUAUUAGGCUAUACAUCCAAGUAUAGUAAGCAAACCAACAUGCACAAAUAAAAGUCACCCAACCAAACUUGGCACAAAAGGAACGAACAACUCUCUGACCCGCACUGGUGUCGACUGUCACCCCCACAGCGAUGAUCUGGUGUCGAUCGACGCUGGCUCCACGUAGCUACUGGUGUCGACCAACAUCCACCUAGUGUCGAUCGUCAUUGGCUCCGCAAAUGCCCCAUAAUCACCUCUUCUCCCAAUGCAUCCAAACACAAAUCCUAACAUCAAUCAUGCAAUACACAACACCAAUCUCAGAGAAACAAACACACAAUCAAAACCCGAAUCCAUUUACACAAUCUAAACACACAUCAUAAAGGUUCACAAGUUUAGAUUAGCAAUAGACACGCUCUCGCCUUUGAUUUGGUUUGAUUGGGAGACAUAAAUAGGAAGAACACAAAAAGAGUAGAGCCUUCUCACACAAAUCUCCUCAACUCUUUGCCCAAACACACAACAACUACCCUCAAACACCUCUAGAACGCCUCCAUAAACUUUUUCUGAAGCCUCAACUUUCAUCUCCUUAAAAUCACACAAGCUAAACAUUUUGUCCUUUUCUCUUUAGAAAUAACAAAACUCUCAAAAAAAAAAAAAAAAAAAAAAGAAAAAAAGAAGAGAGGUUGCUUGAACUUUUAUCAUAGACUCAAGGGUUUUGUUUUAACCCAAUUCACUUAAACUAACAAUUAAGCCCAAACCACCAAACUACCAAAAUUGAUGGUGUCGAUGGACAACAAGGACGGUACAUAUCAUCACAUAAUCAAACAACAACAUCACCGUUAUACAUAUCAUCAAUCAAUCAUAUUAUCACAUAAACUUAUCCUACACAAUCGAAUCUUUACCUACAUGCUUCAAGUGAAGAAACAUAACCAAAAAAAAAAAAAAAGCAUGUUCUGAAGAAGCCACUUUGGUUCCGUUUUCAUAUGUUUUAUUAAUUUGGCCAGUUUCACCUGUUUCUUGCGCAAAAAGCAACGUGAAUAACUCCUCGAUCUCAACUCCGAUUCAGACACUGUCAGUUUCUGUAUCUUCUAAGACAAAAGAUCUAUUCUAGAUCCACCAUGUUUUCUGAUCUUACCUCUGAUCUGGCAAGAAACUCUUCUUCUUUUCUCUUCUUGCUUCUUCGCUUCUGAUUUGCUUCGCCUCUCUCAAUUCUUCAUAUUCAUGGUUGUGAUCAUCUCUUCUCCUCGGCAACGUCCUCGGCCUCCAUCCCCACUUACUUCUUCUAUUUCUCCGACCUGGUCUUGGCUAGCUCCUUGUCUCCAGUGGUUUGUUAACUGCGAUCAAAAACCUUCUCUAUCCUUUGGUGUCUUGGGUGCUGUUUUUAGGGUUUAGUUUUGGGUUUCUCUUUGACAGCUAAGGAAG